RNAcentral lists this transfer RNA (72 nucleotides) under Patescibacteria group bacterium. Its description in RNAcentral is "tRNA-Asn". It matches the Rfam family "tRNA". From Rfam's summary of the family: Transfer RNA (tRNA) molecules are approximately 80 nucleotides in length. Their secondary structure includes four short double-helical elements and three loops (D, anti-codon, and T loops). Further hydrogen bonds mediate the characteristic L-shaped molecular structure. tRNAs have two regions of fundamental functional importance: the anti-codon, which is responsible for specific mRNA codon recognition, and the 3' end, to which the tRNAs corresponding amino acid is attached (by aminoacyl-tRNA synthetases). tRNAs cope with the degeneracy of the genetic code in two manners: having more than one tRNA (with a specific anti-codon) for a particular amino acid; and 'wobble' base-pairing, i.e. permitting non-standard base-pairing at the 3rd anti-codon position. RNAcentral also lists the same sequence under 1 other name. The record is from RNAcentral.
UCCGCGGUAGCUCAGUGGUAGAGCGAGCGACUGUUAAUCGCUUGGUCGCAGGUUCGAAUCCUGCCCGCGGAG